GGGGCAGUAGCUCAGUUGGGAGAGCGCGAGCUUUGCAAGCUUGAGGUCAGCGGUUCGAUCCCGCUCUGCUCCACCA
This 76-nucleotide transfer RNA is filed under the name Candidatus Latescibacterota bacterium. RNAcentral's name for it is "tRNA-Ala". It matches the Rfam family "tRNA". Rfam says of the family: Transfer RNA (tRNA) molecules are approximately 80 nucleotides in length. Their secondary structure includes four short double-helical elements and three loops (D, anti-codon, and T loops). Further hydrogen bonds mediate the characteristic L-shaped molecular structure. tRNAs have two regions of fundamental functional importance: the anti-codon, which is responsible for specific mRNA codon recognition, and the 3' end, to which the tRNAs corresponding amino acid is attached (by aminoacyl-tRNA synthetases). tRNAs cope with the degeneracy of the genetic code in two manners: having more than one tRNA (with a specific anti-codon) for a particular amino acid; and 'wobble' base-pairing, i.e. permitting non-standard base-pairing at the 3rd anti-codon position. The record is from RNAcentral. Lineage: Bacteria; Pseudomonadati; Candidatus Latescibacterota.